CACGGAGUUAGCCGGGGCUUCCUUUAGCGGUACCGUCAGCCAUUCCAGAUGUUAGCUGGAUAGGUGUUCGUCCCGCUCGACAGGAGUUUACGACCCGAAGAUCUUCAUCCUCCACGCGGCGUUGCGUCGUCAGGCUUGCGCCCAUUGCGAACAAUUCCCCACUGCUGCCUCCCGUAGGAGUCCUGGGCCGUGUCUCAGUCCCAGUGUGUCCGUCCGCCCUCUCAGGCCCGGAUACUGAUCGUUGCCUUGGUAGGCCAUUACCCUACCAACUAGCUAAAUCAGACGCGGGCCCCUCUCCAAGCGCCAGGUCUUGCGAUCCCCGGCUUUGAUCUCCACCUUUCCAAAGGCAGGAUGUUAUGCGGUAUUAGCGUCCCUUUCGGGACGUUAUCCCCCACUCUGAGGCAGGUCACCACGUGUUACUCACCCGUUUGCCACUCUAUCAGGGUAUUGCUCCCCUUUCGCGUUCCGACUUGCAUGUGUUAGGCACGCCGCCAGCGUUGA
Molecule: ribosomal RNA, 501 nt
Filed under: uncultured bacterium
Lineage: Bacteria
Description: partial 16S ribosomal RNA
Source: RNAcentral